Molecule: transfer RNA, 72 nt
Organism: Camelus ferus (Wild Bactrian camel)
Lineage: Eukaryota; Metazoa; Chordata; Mammalia; Artiodactyla; Camelidae
Rfam family: tRNA
About the family: Transfer RNA (tRNA) molecules are approximately 80 nucleotides in length.
Source: Rfam
AGGGGUAUAGCUCAGUGGUAGAGCGAGUGCUUGAUAUACACGAGGUCCUGGGUUCAAUCCCCAGUGUCCCCG